CGACUCUCGACAACGGAUAUCUAGGCUCUCGCAUCGAUGAAGAACGUAGCAAAAUGCGAUACUUGGUGUGAAUUGCAGAAUCCCGUGAAUCAUCGAGUUUUUGAACGCAAGUUGCGCCCGAAGCCAUUAGGUCGAGGGCACGUCUGCCUGGGCGUCAC
This 158-nucleotide ribosomal RNA is filed under the name Neoschumannia cardinea. RNAcentral describes it as "5.8S ribosomal RNA". It matches the Rfam family "5.8S ribosomal RNA". From Rfam's summary of the family: 5.8S ribosomal RNA (5.8S rRNA) is a component of the large subunit of the eukaryotic ribosome. The record is from RNAcentral. Lineage: Eukaryota; Viridiplantae; Streptophyta; Magnoliopsida; Gentianales; Apocynaceae. RNAcentral also lists the same sequence under 1 other name.